RNAcentral lists this long non-coding RNA (219 nucleotides) under Physcomitrium patens. Its description in RNAcentral is "long non-coding RNA (PPAT_LNC007368)". The record is from RNAcentral. Lineage: Eukaryota; Viridiplantae; Streptophyta; Bryopsida; Funariales; Funariaceae.
AAUUAAACUCCACACAAACUUUUACACACACACACACACACACAGACAAAUGGGUUAACAAUCAUGCGGAAUGGAGGGUAGAUUGUUGUGGUUGUGUGGAUAUAAUUUGCAGGAGCAUCAACAUCGAUGCUCAUUUUGAUGCGUGGAAUGAAACUAGAAACUGAUAAAAACUUCCAAUCUAAGUGUCAGUUCUUGCGGUUCUAGAGCGGUGAGACGGCG